Molecule: ribosomal RNA, 1142 nt
Filed under: Thrips imaginis (plague thrips)
Lineage: Eukaryota; Metazoa; Arthropoda; Insecta; Thysanoptera; Thripidae
Description: large ribosomal RNA subnuit
Source: RNAcentral
AAAACAAUUAUUAUAGUUUAAGUAAUUUAUAAAAAAAUAAAAAUUUUAAGUAAUUAAAAAGAAAAAAAAUAUCUAAAAGAAAAACUAAAAUUUUGUUCCUUGUGUAUCAUGAUUCAUAGAAAUAUAAAAAAAGUUUUUUGUCUCGAAAAAAAAAGAACUAGAAAUCAUUAUGCUUUAUGUUUCAUAAUAAAGAAAAAAGAAAUCUAGAAAUAAAAAAUUUUCAUUUUUUUUGAUAUCUAGUUAUUUUAGAAAGAAAUUUAAUUUCUACAAUUUUUUAAAAGAAAAUUGAAAAAGUUUUUAAGGGAUUAUCUUUAAAAACAAAACUAAUUAAGUAAUUCAUAUAAAAACAGGAAUUAAAUUAACCAAAAAAAUUAACCAUUUUAAUUAAACAAAAAAGAUUUUAUAAAAAUUAGUAUUAUAUAAAAAUAAAAAAACAAAAAUAAAAUAAAAAAAUUAUGAAAUUAGUAAAUUCAAAAAAAGUUUUUUAGGAACUCGGCAAAUAAAACUAUCCGAAUGUUUAACAAAAACAUUGUCUAUAGAAUUUAUUAUAGAUAAAGCCUGCUCAGUGAAAUUUUAACAGCCUUCUUUAAGCUAAGGUAGCAUAAUAAUUUGUCUCUUAAUUAGAGGCUAGAAUGAAAGGUAAAACGAGAUAGAAACUUUCUUAAAAAUUAAAAUUAAAUUUUUCCUUUAAGUUAAAAGACUUAAAUUUAUUUAAAGGACGACAAGACCCUAUAGAACUUAAAAUUUUCAAAAAAUAAAAGAAAGAAAAAAUUUUACUGGGGAAGUAAAAAAAUAGAAAUUUUUUUUAAAAAAAACAAUUUAAAGAAUUUAAGAUCCUUAAAAAAGAAAAAAGAAAAAGUUACCUUAGGGAUAACAGAGUUAAAUUUUUUGAGAGACCAAAUCGAAAAAAAAUAUUGCUACCUCGAUGUUGAAUUAAGAUAAAUAUUAAUAGAAGAAAAUUAAUUAAUUAGGUCUGUUCGACCUUGAAAUCUUACAUGAUUUGAGUUAAGACCGGCGUAAGCCAGGUUGGUUUCUAUCCUUAAAUUAAUUCUUUUUUUUAGUACGAAAGGACCAAAAAAAAUAAAAUUUUUAACAACCAAAUACAAAAUAAUUAAAAUUAUUUUAGUAAUCUACCAUUGGUU